Prolemur simus (greater bamboo lemur) is the source of this 164-nucleotide small nuclear RNA. Its record names the gene U1. It matches the Rfam family "U1 spliceosomal RNA". From Rfam's summary of the family: U1 is a small nuclear RNA (snRNA) component of the spliceosome (involved in pre-mRNA splicing). Its 5' end forms complementary base pairs with the 5' splice junction, thus defining the 5' donor site of an intron. NCBI's taxonomy places the organism in Eukaryota, Metazoa, Chordata, Mammalia, Primates, Lemuridae. The record is from Ensembl.
AUACUUACCUGGCAGGGGAGAUACCAUGAUCACGAAUGUGGUUUUCCCAGGGCAAGGCUUAUCCAUUGCUCUCCCGAUGUGCUGACCCCUGCGAUUUCCCCAAAUGUGGGAAACUCGACUGCAUAAUUUGUGGUAGUAGGGGACUGUGUUUGAGCUUUCUCCUA